Molecule: ribosomal RNA, 699 nt
Filed under: uncultured Staphylococcus sp.
Lineage: Bacteria; Bacillati; Bacillota; Bacilli; Caryophanales; Staphylococcaceae
Description: bacterial SSU rRNA
Rfam family: Bacterial small subunit ribosomal RNA
Source: RNAcentral
GAGUUUGAUCCUGGCUCAGGAUGAACGCUGGCGGCGUGCCUAAUACAUGCAAGUCGAGCGAACAGAUGAGAAGCUUGCUUCUCUGAUGUUAGCGGCGGACGGGUGAGUAACACGUGGGUAACCUACCUAUAAGACUGGGAUAACUCCGGGAAACCGGGGCUAAUACCUGAUAAUAUUUUGAACCGCAUGGUUCAAUAGUGAAAGGCGGCUUCGGCUGUCACUUAUAGAUGGACCCGCGCCGUAUUAGCUAGUUGGUAAGGAACGGCUUACCAAGGCGACGAUACGUAGCCGACCUGAGAGGGUGAUCGGCCACACUGGAACUGAGACACGGUCCAGACUCCUACGGGAGGCAGCAGUAGGGAAUCUUCCGCAAUGGGCGAAAGCCUGACGGAGCAACGCCGCGUGAGUGAUGAAGGUUUUCGGAUCGUAAAACUCUGUUGUUAGGGAAGAACAAAUUUGUUAGUAACUGAACAAGUCUUGACGGUACCUAACCAGAAAGCCACGGCUAACUACGUGCCAGCAGCCCGCGGUAAUACGUAGGUGGCAAGCGUUAUCCGGAAUUAUUGGGCGUAAAGCCGCGCGUAAGCGGUUUCUUAAGUCUGAUGUGAAAGCCCACGGCUCACCCGGGGAGGGUCAUUGGAAACUGGGGAACUUGAGUGCAGAAAAGAGAAGUGGAAUUUCAUGUGUAGCGGUGAAAUG